GCUUGUCUCAAAGAUUAAGCCAUGCAUGUCUUAGUGUAAAUAACUCUUAUGAAACUGCGAAUGGCUCAUUAUAACAGUUAUAAUUUGUUUGGUGUUCAAGUUUACAUGGGUAACUGUGGCAAUUCUAGAGCUAAUACAUGCUGUUUUGCCUGACUCUGUGGUAAGGCUGUGCUUAUUAGUACCAGAACCAACCCAAGUUCUGCUUGGUUGCAUCCUGAUUCAUAAUAAACGAAUGGAUUGCAUGCUUUGGCUGGCAAUGUAGCAUCUAAGUUUCUGACCUAUCAGCUUCCGACGGUAAGGUAUUGGCUUACCGUGGCAAUGACGGGUAAC
This 330-nucleotide ribosomal RNA is filed under the name uncultured fungus. Its description in RNAcentral is "partial small subunit ribosomal RNA". It matches the Rfam family "Eukaryotic small subunit ribosomal RNA", at positions 30 to 363 of the family's 1831-position model. Lineage: Eukaryota; Fungi. The record is from RNAcentral.